This 284-nucleotide ribosomal RNA is filed under the name Segatella copri DSM 18205. RNAcentral's name for it is "Prevotella copri DSM 18205 partial 16S ribosomal RNA". It matches the Rfam family "Bacterial small subunit ribosomal RNA", at positions 493 to 776 of the family's 1533-position model. Lineage: Bacteria; Pseudomonadati; Bacteroidota; Bacteroidia; Bacteroidales; Prevotellaceae. The record is from RNAcentral.
UCUUUUCCUUUUUUUCCAGCAGCCGCGGUAAUACGGAAGGUCCGGGCGUUAUCCGGAUUUAUUGGGUUUAAAGGGAGCGUAGGCCGGAGAUUAAGCGUGUUGUGAAAUGUAGAGGCUCAACCUCUGCACUGCAGCGCGAACUGGUCUUCUUGAGUACGCACAACGUGGGCGGAAUUCGUGGUGUAGCGGUGAAAUGCUUAGAUAUCACGAAGAACUCCGAUUGCGAAGGCAGCUCACGGGAGCGCAACUGACGCUGAAGCUCGAAAGUGCGGGUAUCGAACAGG